RNAcentral lists this ribosomal RNA (252 nucleotides) under uncultured bacterium. Its description in RNAcentral is "partial 16S ribosomal RNA". It matches the Rfam family "Bacterial small subunit ribosomal RNA", at positions 524 to 776 of the family's 1533-position model. The record is from RNAcentral.
GACAGAGGGUGCAACGUUGUUCGGAUUUACUGGGCGUAAAGCGCGCGUAGGCGGACCUGCAAGUCGGGGGUGAAAGCCCGAGGCUCAACCUCGGAACUGCCUUCGAUACUGCGGGUCUCGAGUCCGGGAGAGGUGAGUGGAAUUCCUAGUGUAGAGGUGAAAUUCGUAGAUAUUAGGAAGAACACCAGUGGCGAAGGCGGCUCACUGGCCCGGUACUGACGCUGAGGCGCGAAAGCGUGGGGAGCAAACAGG